CCUACGGGGGGCUGCAGUCGAGAAUCAUUCACAAUGGGGGAAACCCUGAUGGUGCGACGCCGCGUGGGGGAAUGAAGUUCUUCGGAUUGUAAACCCCUGUCAUGUGGGAGCAAAUUAAAAAGCUCGUACCCCAAGAGGAAGAGCCGGCUAACUCUGUGCCAGCAGCCGCGGUAAUACAGAGGUCUCAAGCGUUGUUCGGAAUCACUGGGCGUAAAGCGUGCGUAGGCUGUUUCGUAAGUCGUGUGUGAAAGGCGCGGGCUCAACCCGCGGACGGCACAUGAUACUGCGAGACUAGAGUAAUGGAGGGGGAACCGGAAUUCUCGGUGUAGCAGUGAAAUGCGUAGAUAUCGAGAGGAACACUCGUGGCGAAGGCGGGUUCCUGGACAUUAACUGACGCUGAGGCACGAAGGCCAGGGGAGCGAAAGGGAUUAGAUACCCCAGUAGUC
RNAcentral lists this ribosomal RNA (446 nucleotides) under uncultured bacterium. RNAcentral's name for it is "partial 16S ribosomal RNA". It matches the Rfam family "Bacterial small subunit ribosomal RNA", at positions 338 to 795 of the family's 1533-position model. The record is from RNAcentral.